Molecule: RNA transcript, 2138 nt
Organism: Dreissena polymorpha
Lineage: Eukaryota; Metazoa; Mollusca; Bivalvia; Myida; Dreissenidae
Exons: 4
Source: RefSeq, a predicted model, not a curated record
CGAUAUGAGUCGUAAACACCAUGUUUUCUACAUUUCGCAAUGUCUUUAUCAGCCAUAGUUUAAAUGCAUUACAUAUAAAAACACAUUUAGAAGAUGUGCUCAUUUAAAAAUAAACAUCCUAUAAGAAUAACGGAAUGGACUUGAUCGUAACAUAACUUAAGGAAUAUAUUAAAAGCAAAAAUGGAUGAUUCUGGGACAAGUAGCCGCUGUGACACUGGAAUAAGCAGCACAAGCGAUACAGGUUGUAGCAGCACAUGCGAUGCGGGCUUUAGCAGUACAUGCGACACAGGGUUUAGCAACAACUGUGACAGUGGAAAAAUGGGUGGUUUUAACGACACCGCAUUCAGCUAUGACAAUUUCACCGAGAAUACUUAUGCAAACGCUAACCUUCAGGAUUCUUUUAUGCACGCGACAUUUCCCGCCACUUACGGAUAUAUGGACACUUACUCCGUUUCCUCGGGCCUUCCCCCUCCGUUCUUAGUCCAACAUCACUCGGUGCGCCGUCCUGGAGACUCGAGCGUGUACAUCGGUCGCCCCAUGGUGAUACCGACACCAACACAACAACACAAGAUGAUGCAAAGGGAUAGCAAACGAAGAAAAUGCAUCGGGUGUUUGGUGCUAUUGCUGGUCCUUGCAGGGGUCAUCACAGCAAUUACCUUGACGUUGAAAUAUGCUAAAAAAUUGUAAAGCUCCAAAGUUCAGCGCAAAUGAGACGAGUCUCAAGGCAAAACACAGAUACCGGUCGUCAAAGAAUGCAAGACAAUAUGCGAGACUCUGAGAAGCGUCAUUCGACAUUGAGAUGUGUGCAGCUUGUGGUUGGCGUUGACAUACCGUACAUUACAUUGCAAUACACCAAUUCGUGUGGUUGGCGUUGACAUACCGUACAUGUACAUUGCAAUACACCAAAAUUCGUGUGUUUUGCGUUCACAUACCGUACAUGUACAUUGCAAUACACCAAUUCGUGUGAUUGGCGUUGACAUACCGUACAUGUAUAUUGUAAUACACCAUUUCGUGUGGUUGGCGUUAGCAUACCGUACAUGUACAUUGCAAUACACCAAUUCGUGUGGUUGGCGUUGACAUACAGUACAUGUACAUUGCAAUACAUCAGUUCGUGUGGUUGGCGUUGGCAUACCGUACAUGUACAUUGCAAUAUACCAAUUCGUGUGGUUGGCGUUGACAUAAUAUACAUUUACAUUGCAAUACACCAAUUCGUGUGGUUGGCGUUGACACACCGUACAUGUACAUUGCAAUACACCAAUUCGUGUCGAUGCAAAGACAUAAGGAGCGAAGUAUUCUGGCUUGGGGCCAUCACUGCAAUCUCCGCUAUAGUGUCCAGAAAAGUUGCCGAUAGCAACAGGCGAAUCUCUUUCAGCACAAAUGUUAAAAAAACGCAACAAACGACGAAAGUCGUCUACGAAUGGAAGACAGAAUGCAAGACUUUGAGAACCGUCGGUCGAGCGUUAUGCCAUGGUGAAAACCAUAAAGGAGCUGUCUUAGACUUGACACAGUAUAUUUAGUGAUUUCCAAAGUAGACAAAAAUCUUAAAAGGGCUUUAACUCACAAUAAAAGACUAGUCCAAAAAAGCUGGAUAUUGCAGAUAUAGUUUAAUAUUCGACCUAAUUUUCGUGAUUAUACGGGCAAAAGCACGCCGCGUAGCGGAGUGCGUUGACCGCUUAUUGUAUCGGUUAUUUGACAUACAAUACACAUAUAUUGAUCAGACUCAAAAUAUUUCUGCCCGCGUCAAAUAUUUUCGCGAUGCAAAUCAUGGGCCACUUAGCUACAUAGACACUCCGACAAAUGCUAUAUCAACUAUAUAUGCAUACCUCAAGACCAAAUACGCCAGGAAAGUCAUUGUUUUGAAGCGCAUUGUUCUCUAUCUUCUUGCGUUAUAUGUUUUUCAACGCCAAAACACGCGUUUUUGGCUCUCAAUUGAUUUGCUUCCUGUUUGCUGUUUCCCGGCCUUAAGGGAAUAAGCCAUAGUCCCAGACUGGUUUUCCAUAAUUCGCGAUAACUUUUUCCAAAUACAAUUUUGGUAAAUAUAACCCAUCUGAAUGUUACAUACAAAGGAGCAAAUGUAGAAGUCGUGUCUUUUUAUAAGUAUUUAGGUGCGUACUUUACACCGAAGUUAUCAUGGACAA